UACGGGGGGGGCAAGCGUUGUUCGGAAUUACUGGGCGUAAAGGGCUCGUAGGCGGCCAACUAAGUCAGACGUGAAAUCCCUCGGCUUAACCGGGGAACUGCGUCUGAUACUGGAUGGCUUGAGGUUGGGAGAGGGAUGCGGAAUUCCAGGUGUAGCGGUGAAAUGCGUAGAUAUCAGGAGGAACACCAAUGGCGAAGGCAGCUCGCUGGGACGGUACUGACGCUGAGGCGCGAAAGCGUGGGGAGCAAACAGG
Molecule: ribosomal RNA, 253 nt
Filed under: uncultured bacterium
Lineage: Bacteria
Description: partial 16S ribosomal RNA
Rfam family: Bacterial small subunit ribosomal RNA
Source: RNAcentral